This 1041-nucleotide long non-coding RNA is filed under the name Macaca fascicularis (crab-eating macaque). Its description in RNAcentral is "lncRNA (ENSMFAG00000057546.1)". The record is from RNAcentral. Lineage: Eukaryota; Metazoa; Chordata; Mammalia; Primates; Cercopithecidae.
UCGGGAGUUUGAGACCAGCCUGAUCAACAUGGAGAAACCCCAUCUCUACUAAAAAUACAAAAAUUAGCUGGGUGUGGUGGUGCAUGCUUGUAAUCCCAGCUACUUGGGAGGCUGAGGCAGGAGAAUUGCUUGAACCCAGGAAGCAGAGGUUGUGGUAAGCCAAGAUCGUGCCAUUGCACUCCAGCCUGGGCAACAAGAGUGAAACUCCAUCUCAGAAAAGAAAAGAAAAGCCAAGCCACUGCUUGGCUGGGCAUAGUGGUUUACACCUAUAAUCUCAGCACUUCGGAAGACUCAGGCAGAAGGCUCACUUGAGGUCAGGAGUUUGAGACCAGCUUGGGCAACAUAAUGAGACCCACUGCUUAACUAAAUCUUAACAAGAUGAAACUCUCCCCAAAGGCAAAGCAGUUUCUUGCAUUUUGCUGUAUCUCAUCCUAUGCUGCCUAAUAUAGUUUUUCUGCCUAGAUUAGGUGACCAAGUGAUAGAAAAUACAAAGAGAGUAACAAAAAAGAUACAUAGGAUUUGGGAUAAGGUCAGGAUUGUCACCCUCUGAGCUCAGAUCGUCUUUUUUUUUUUUUUUUUUUUUUUCAGUUGUUUGUUUUUUUUAAGGCCUUUCUCCAUUGUGGAAUUUUGAUGCUGAAAGAGGUUGGUGAUACCUUCAGGUGAAGGCUUUCGACAUUCACUGUAUUCAUAAGGCUUUUUUCCAGUGUGGCAGAUCUGCUUUUGAAAUCCAGCUCUAUCAUCACCUAAUUCUCUGACCCAAAGUCCUCCUAUUUCAAUACCUUGUGAAGCCCCAAAGAAAGCAGAGAAACAGGAUUCCUGGCUCCAAGUUGUUUCCUUCAUCCUCCAGAUGUAGAGGCUUGCAUUAUAGACUUCAGUCAUCCUGCUCGUCUUUUCAGAUUGCUCUACCCAGUGGCUGCCAGACCCUUGCUCUUACCCCCCACUCCCCUCCCCAGCCCAUGGGGAUUUCCAACAUAGUACUCACCCAGGGUUUUGCUUUUUAGUAUAAAUUUUAUAUUAUAUAUAAACAGUAUAUAUAUGCAC